Molecule: ribosomal RNA, 250 nt
Filed under: uncultured bacterium
Lineage: Bacteria
Description: partial 16S ribosomal RNA
Rfam family: Bacterial small subunit ribosomal RNA
Source: RNAcentral
UACGGAGGGUCCGAGCGUUAAUCGGAAUUACUGGGCGUAAAGCGCGCGUAGGCGGUUGAUUAAGUUGGAUGUGAAAUCCCCGGGCUCAACCUGGGACCUGCAUACAAAACUGGUCAACUAGAGUACAGCAGAGGAGUGUGGAAUUUCAGGUGUAGCGGUGAAAUGCGUAGAGAUCUGAAGGAACACCAGUGGCGAAGGCGACACUCUGGGCUGAUACUGACGCUGAGGUGCGAAAGCGUGGGUAGCAAAC